UACGUAGGGUGCGAGCGUUGUCCGGAAUUAUUGGGCGUAAAGAGCUCGUAGGCGGUCUGUCGCGUCGGUCGUGAAAACUUGGGGCUUAACCCUGAGCUUGCGGUCGAUACGGGCAUGACUGGAGUUCGGCAGGGGAGACUGGAAUUCCUGGUGUAGCGGUGAAAUGCGCAGAUAUCAGGAGGAACACCGGUGGCGAAGGCGGGUCUCUGGGCAACAACUGACGCUGAGGAGCGAAAGCGUGGGGAGCGAACAGG
This 254-nucleotide ribosomal RNA is filed under the name uncultured bacterium. Its description in RNAcentral is "partial 16S ribosomal RNA". It matches the Rfam family "Bacterial small subunit ribosomal RNA", at positions 524 to 776 of the family's 1533-position model. The record is from RNAcentral.